This 484-nucleotide ribosomal RNA is filed under the name uncultured bacterium. RNAcentral's name for it is "partial 16S ribosomal RNA". It matches the Rfam family "Bacterial small subunit ribosomal RNA", at positions 30 to 507 of the family's 1533-position model. The record is from RNAcentral.
AUUGAACGCUGGCGGCAGGCCUAACACAUGCAAGUCGAGCGGAUGAAGGGAGCUUGCUCCUGUAUUCAGCGGCGGACGGGUGAGUAAUGCCUAGGAAUCUGCCUGGUAGUGGGGGAUAACGUCCGGAAACGGGCGCUAAUACCUCAUACGUCCUGAGGGAGAAAGUGGGGGAUCUUCGGACCUCACGCUAUCAGAUGAGCCUAGGUCGGAUUAGCUAGUUGGUGGGGUAAAGGCCUACCAAGGCGACGAUCCGUAACUGGUCUGAGAGGAUGAUCAGUCACACUGGAACUGAGACACGGUCCAGACUCCUACGGGAGGCAGCAGUGGGGAAUAUUGGACAAUGGGCGAAAGCCUGAUCCAGCCAUGCCGCGUGUGUGAAGAAGGUCUUCGGAUUGUAAAGCACUUUAAGUUGGGAGGAAGGGCAGUAAGUUAAUACCUUGCUGUUUUGACGGUACCAAAAGAAUAAGCACCGGCUAACUUCGUG